RNAcentral lists this small nuclear RNA (23 nucleotides) under Arabidopsis thaliana (thale cress). Its description in RNAcentral is "snRNA_18055". Lineage: Eukaryota; Viridiplantae; Streptophyta; Magnoliopsida; Brassicales; Brassicaceae. The record is from RNAcentral.
ACAAUUUUCCUCAAGAUUGGCUC